This is a long non-coding RNA of Gasterosteus aculeatus aculeatus (three-spined stickleback), 4105 nucleotides long. The record is from Ensembl. Lineage: Eukaryota; Metazoa; Chordata; Actinopteri; Perciformes; Gasterosteidae.
AUCCACCAAUACACACACACACACACACACACACACACACACACACACCCUCUGAGACAACUAUUUUUCUGGUAAACAUUCUGAGAAAAUUCAGGAAAUCACAAAGUGAUGCAACAAUAGAUCAGAUCGGUGACAAUUUUUUGUGUUCACAGAUGUCGGAGCCACAUCCAGUCUGCCUGUUUAACUGAAAUGAUAACAAAGGAAACAAAAGGUUCAUCUGGCCAAGUGAGCUGUUUAUGGCUGCAGGAACUGCAUCGGCUGCAUCUACUGUUUACAGUGUGGUAGUUGUGACAGAGGACAGUUGUAGCUCUCCCGAUUGUUGUAACAUUGAAGUUGUAAAAUGCAGUUUCACAAUGCACACUGUUACAAACCUGUGUGCAUUUUGUUCUUGGGUAUGAACAAAAAGAAAAAUCCAAUUUCAUCAUCCCGCCUGAAUGCUUACCUGUAAUUCCACGCAGCCAAAGCAAAGCUAUCCGUUCUUUUAAACGUUUAGUUUAUUACAAGCAGUAACAAAGAGACAUUGGACAUGGAUGGCAGAUAGUUUGGGAACGUCUUUUGCUUGGAACCAUUCCUCUUUCCAGUAUUGAUGCACGGCAUGGCUAGUCCAGUUGGGAGCCAACUCCCAGUGUUGCUGGUGCUUACGGGCCCGGACCUGCAUCAUUAUCACAGCACUGAGCAUUGGCAGUCAGGCCACACUCGCCCCUCUCUUACCCCGGUGAUAAACUACUGACUGGACUCCGGGCGGAUAGGUUUUUCAGCAUGCCUCAGCGCCAAAAAGCACAUCAAUUAUUCAACCUCACAGUGGCCUAUUGUAAUUACUCUGCCAGCCAUCACCACCGUAAGUCAAUGAAAUAAGCAACGAGAUGCAAAAGCCGUACUCCUGCGGCAUAGCCAAGUGCAACCGGAUUAGUUUGUCCUUGUAUCCAGAAGGACACUGAGCCAGUGAGACAAAGCGAAGCGAAGUAAACAUGCACACCUCAGAAUGACAUUAUUGAAAUAUGCAACGCACGUCCGGUAUAUUUUGCUGCUGCUUUUUGUUUCUGGACGUCACUCUUUAAUGACUUGUGGGAGAUCCUGGCGCUCGUAAAGAGUGCAGGUCACGAAACACGUCGAGAGAGUCGUGGAAAGCAGGUGAUCAGAAGUCAUCAUCUGGCAGACAGAGUAAUGGAGCCGACAUGGACACGGAAAACACAGACUCACGGACAAAUUGGCAAAAACCGCACGCUGAAUCAGAGUUCAGAAUACUAAUCAAUGUCUCCCCGUUUACAUUUCACAUGACCGUCUCCUUGCCUUCACUCUCACAAAGCCCCUGUAAUCGCCGCAGAAUAUAGAUUGGUUGUUCAUCAGUCUGCGCACGAGCAACAAUCAUACGAGAUAGCGGGCAGGGAGUGAGGGGUAGGGAGGACAGUGAGAGGGGGGGGGGGAGAGAAAGUGACACACAGUACGGCACACGGGGACACGCAGCCUCACCGCCGUAGUUUUAGCCAAUGCUCACCCCUGAGGAAAGAUGGGGGGAAGACGGAAGAAAAAGAGGUGACUUACUUCUAUGGUCCUAUGAUUCUUCGUGAGCCUUAUCGAGAGACGUAAGAGCGUCCACUGACACAGAUGGAGAGACGGCGAGGGAGAAACAGUUGGCGAGGAAGAGGAGAUGAGGAGGGAGACCGGAGGGCUUGACUCGGAGUGCUGCUUUUGCUGUGUUGCACACUGUAAAAUUGUGCGUGUGUGUGUGUGUGUGUGUGUGUGUGUGUGUGUUGAGGCUCUCCAAGGGGCUCUGUGCAGAUACACUUAACCAAGUUGCUCCUGAACCUUUUGUUCACUCGUUUCGUCGCCUGCAUUUUUACCACGGGCGCACGUGCGAACUCGUGCCAUUUGAUUGCAAGUUGCCGUAUCACACAGCUUUGAGGGUUUGGCACCACUCAGAUGAAGGCAUACCCCCCCCCCCCCCUCCCUAAAUACUGAUUCAUAGGCAAAUAAUGAAAGCAUCUCUGCCCAGACCAGGCACGGAGUAGUGGUGUUUUGAAGAGAUAAGGAAAAUGGGCUCCAUUCACAGCAGUAGGAGACUGAGACAAAUUGAUCCCCUCAUUCUCUCAGUCAGUUGUUGUAAGUGAGAAUAAUGCCGAGAGCUGUCACUUGAGCGUGUGAAGAUACUCACUAAUAUCCACACAUUAUAACUACAGAUAAUUCACGUUGUUUUUUUUUUUUUUUGUCUUUUUCCGUGAAGUCAAAUGAAGCCUCCUGCCCUCUGAGACACACAUAGAAAUGUUUCGAGGAGCGGAGGCUUUUGCAGCAUGCAAUUAGCCCGAUGUGGGGGUUAUUGUUGUCGAAAGCGCGAGGAGGCCAUAGAAAUCGCGAGCACAAUGAUGGCAGGUGUGGAAUUAGCGACGUCUCCCCACCGCCGUUGUCGAGGCACUUGCAGAACAACCCUCUCUCAAGUUUGGAGCGAAUCUUUAGCAGCCCAGUGAAAGAAACUUUGGAAAACAAAGACGUCAGCUGUGACUGCAGCUUGGCACGAACAUCGAUGUAUUGAAUAUUAAGCGAGCAUGGCUUGAGUUUGCAGACUUGUUCUUCCAUGACAGAAUGUCAGAAUCACCUUUGUUUUUUUAAAGCACCUUAAAAAAAAACGCUGACCGUAAUCUGUCAUGUCAAAGCCUAAAAAUCGGCCUCUCCCUUUUCACCCGUGCUUUCGUUUUGCGCCAGGAAUAGGCAACCCCAUCUCCUGCCACAACAAUAACAACCCGCUUUCACAAAAGCAGGAUGCAUCUGAUAGCUCUGGCAAGGCUUUCUUUUUACAAACUCUCCGUCUCUGGGCUGCGGUCCACUAAAGCAUGGACACUGCCCUGUAACAAGACGGAUAUUUCCCUCUGGGGUUUUGGGAUUUAUUGCCUGUAGCAUUUAUGGAGAGGUCCCAGUUGGAGAUGACAGCAAAUGCACACAUACACACACAUACACGGAGGGGUUAGAAAUGCUAAUUUAGACACACAUAGGGGGGGUAUAAAUCCAGUCCUCAUUGUGAAUUCAGCACGUUGGCUGUAUUGUGCAGUGGUGAGCCCCUUUAUUCAAUUGAGCUGCCAUCCAUCGUGGAUGUGGCAUUGAGCAGGCACGUACCGGGAGCCCCCACAGGAGCAUUAGACUCACUCAAACACACAGGGACUGUUUGCAUACAUAUAAACAGACAGCGUAGAGAUGCAAAGACCCAUUAGGACUGUAAUGGCCUGAUGCAACUCUCUGUAGGGUCAUUAUUGUCCGCUGAGGAAUUCAAAAAGAUAUCGCCUUCAGAAGGCCGGGCGUCUCUGAGCACGGGUCGCUGUCUCUCCAAAGAUAUCGGCGCGUGAUUGUAUGCGACUAUGCACACUACUGCAUCCUCGAGUAUGCACUCGCUGCCACGCUGCCACGUAAUAAAGCCCCCGUGGGUUUUCAAAUGCAGGAGCGAAGACAAAAGGAUGUUACCGUAUGUUCACACUCUAAAGUGUUGUUAACCACUGAAGAAGGUUUCCAGAUUAAGUAAAGAGCAUCGCCAGGGACCAGCAACCUCGCCAGGAUGUUCUUCUUGUUAAAACAUCCAAGGGAAGUCUGAACUCUCAAACAGAGCACGCUUCAUUUAAUAAGUUGAAUGAAUGCUCAGUUGUGAAUUCAUUCAACUCAUAAUUUUUAUGUCAAAAGACAGGUGAACACAUAAUAUAUUUAAAACUUAAAGGAGCAAGAGUAUAAAUACAUAUUAAAUCUAAAUGUUUUAAUAAUGUUGCUUAGAAUCCCUAUUGUUAAAUUAUUAGUCAGAGUAGUACAAGUAGAAGUAUCAUAUUUAGUAACAGCAGUAAAAACAAAUCAGUUGCUUUUUACCUCCGGCAGCCACAGUUGUUUGAAAUAGUUGCGUGUGCUGCAGCCACGAGGAUCCCUACUGAGCCCGUGAGAAAAGAUGGCCCAUCAACACCGUACGAUCCCACUGAUGGAUGUUGGGAACUAUAAUUGUAAUGAUUGGUGUGAGGAGCACAGACGAGAGGUGUUUAGCCUACGAGGUGAGCCGUGGCCCCGUCGCUACGAGGUGAGCCGUGGCCCCGUCGCUACGAGGUGAGCCGUGGCCCCGUCGCUACGAGGUGAGCCGUGGCCC